Molecule: ribosomal RNA, 543 nt
Filed under: uncultured bacterium
Lineage: Bacteria
Description: partial 16S ribosomal RNA
Rfam family: Bacterial small subunit ribosomal RNA
Source: RNAcentral
UGGGGAAUUUUGGACAAUGGGCGAAAGCCUGAUCCAGCAAUGCCGCGUGUGUGAAGAAGGCCUUCGGGUUGUAAAGCACUUUUGUCCGGAAAGAAAUCCUUGGCUCUAAUACAGUCGGGGGGAUGACGGUACCGGAAGAAUAAGCACCGGCUAACUACGUGCCAGCAGCCGCGGUAAUACGUAGGGUGCAAGCGUUAAUCGGAAUUACUGGGCGUAAAGCGUGCGCAGGCGGUUUGCUAAGACCGAUGUGAAAUCCCCGGGCUCAACCUGGGAACUGCAUUGGUGACUGGCAGGCUAGAGUAUGGCAGAGGGGGGUAGAAUUCCACGUGUAGCAGUGAAAUGCGUAGAGAUGUGGAGGAAUACCGAUGGCGAAGGCAGCCCCCUGGGGCCAAUACUGACGCUCAUGCACGAAAGCGUGGGGAGCAAACAGGAUUAGAUACCCUGGUAGUCCAGCGCCCUAAACGAUGUCAACUAGUUGUUGGGGAUUCAUUUCCUAGUACGUAGCUAACGCGUGAGUUGACCGCCUGGGGAGUACGGUCGCAA